Molecule: ribosomal RNA, 255 nt
Filed under: uncultured bacterium
Lineage: Bacteria
Description: partial 16S ribosomal RNA
Rfam family: Bacterial small subunit ribosomal RNA
Source: RNAcentral
UACGUAGGGUCCAAGCGUUAUCCGGAAUUACUGGGCGUAAAGCGUGUGUAGGCGGCGCGUUAAGUGCAACGCGAAAUCCUGUGGCUCAACCAUAUGGACUGUGUUGCAUACUGGCGUGCUUGAGGAUGGCAGAGGCAAGUGGAAUUUGUAGUGUAGCAGUGAAAUGCGUAGAUAUUACAAGGAACACCAAAUGGCGAAGGCAGCUUGCUGGGCCAUAUCUGACGCUGAGACACGAAAGCGUGGGGAGCGAACAGG